Molecule: small nuclear RNA, 107 nt
Organism: Cricetulus griseus (Chinese hamster)
Lineage: Eukaryota; Metazoa; Chordata; Mammalia; Rodentia; Cricetidae
Source: Ensembl
AUGCUCAGUUUGGCAGCAUACAUACAAAAAUCAGCUCAAAUCAGAAAAGACUAGCAUGGCCCCUGCUAAAGAAUGACAUGAAAAUUACCCAGAAGCAGUUGGGUUGG